This 73-nucleotide transfer RNA is filed under the name Myxococcales bacterium. RNAcentral describes it as "tRNA-Trp". It matches the Rfam family "tRNA". From Rfam's summary of the family: Transfer RNA (tRNA) molecules are approximately 80 nucleotides in length. Their secondary structure includes four short double-helical elements and three loops (D, anti-codon, and T loops). Further hydrogen bonds mediate the characteristic L-shaped molecular structure. tRNAs have two regions of fundamental functional importance: the anti-codon, which is responsible for specific mRNA codon recognition, and the 3' end, to which the tRNAs corresponding amino acid is attached (by aminoacyl-tRNA synthetases). tRNAs cope with the degeneracy of the genetic code in two manners: having more than one tRNA (with a specific anti-codon) for a particular amino acid; and 'wobble' base-pairing, i.e. permitting non-standard base-pairing at the 3rd anti-codon position. The record is from RNAcentral. Lineage: Bacteria; Pseudomonadati; Myxococcota; Myxococcia; Myxococcales.
AGGGCGCUGGCUCAAUCGGUAGAGCACUGGACUCCAAAUCCGGGGGUUGGGGGUUCGAGUCCCUCGCGCCCUG